CUCGAGGACCAAACUUCUGGAAUAAAAGGGAAUCAUGACAUGUCACACGUCAUGUGUCCUUAGUGGUCAUGGUGGUAGGAGUGAGUUUGUGCAGUGUUUCAGCUAAAAACCCUGCACAUACUGAGUAAUUGGUAAUUGUGUGCAUACUUUGUCAGACAUGAUAAUCUUACCCUUACAGAAUUGGUUCCCCUUUCCAUCCUGUAGGUAUUCUCUCCACUGCU
Pelobates cultripes (western spadefoot toad) is the source of this 221-nucleotide non-coding RNA. Lineage: Eukaryota; Metazoa; Chordata; Amphibia; Anura; Pelobatidae. The record is from the annotation of a GenBank genome assembly.